RNAcentral lists this long non-coding RNA (316 nucleotides) under Struthio camelus australis. RNAcentral's name for it is "lncRNA (ENSSCUG00000014727.1)". Lineage: Eukaryota; Metazoa; Chordata; Aves; Struthioniformes; Struthionidae. The record is from RNAcentral.
UCUUUCAGGUGGUGAAAAACAGUUACAGUCUUAGCAUAGACUUGUCGGCAUUCACGUCUGCAAAGAAAGUGCAAUAACAGCAUUUGAAAAUGGAAAAAGCAUACUGCAAGAUUUGAUCUUUGACAUUAAACAGUCACUUGUGUCUGAAAUGCUACUGGGAUACUCUACUAAGACUAAAAUUCAAAGCAAAAUGAGAAAAAACAUGUUUUCAGUUCACACUUUGCCUAAUAAAUCAAAGUAUGAUACAGGCCAAUACUGAAGAUGUCAGGAUAAGGCACAAAAAUCUCCAAAUUGUAAGUUAUAUGGAAACUUGCUC